UGAGGAGUAAAAACAAACCAAAGUCAAGAGAAAUUUCGACACCCAUUUACGUGUUAUAUUAGUGUAAAUUUACGUAUAUUACUCAAACUUAAUCAGUCAUGGUUGAACCAAUCUUUGACUAUCAGUUCCGAUUAAUACUAAUAGGAGAUUCAACUGUGGGGAAGAGUUCUUUGUUAAAAUAUUUCACAGACGGCAAGUUCUUUGAGAUAUCUGACCCCACUGUUGGCGUUGACUUCUUUGCUCGACUUAUUGAAGUGAGAGACGGCACAAGAAUAAAAUUGCAAUUAUGGGACACAGCUGGCCAAGAGAGAUUUAGGUCCAUCACACGUACUUAUUAUCGAAAUUCUGUGGGAGCAUUAGUAGUGUUUGAUGUAUGCAACAAAAAAUCUCUGGAGCACGUUCCCAUGUGGAUUAUGGAAGCCAAGCGACACAUCGAACCUCACAAAUCUGUAUUUAUCCUCGUUGGUACAAAGAUUGAUAUGGAGGAUGAACGUGAGGUGAGAAAAGAGGACGCUAUGUCUUUAGCAAAGUUCUAUAACAUCAGCUACGUUGAAACAAGCUCAAUGAAAGGAAUCAAUGUGGAAGAGGCAUUCAGAACUAUCACACAAGAAGUGUAUGAUAAGAUACAGUCUGGAGAGUUCAAAAUUGAGGAUGGCUGGGACGGCAUCAAGACGGGGUUCUCUCGACCUAGCCCUUCCUACAGCUUAAUGGAAGCCGAAGCAGAAAAGUCUGGAUUUUGUUGCUAGAAAGCUACAAAAUACUGUGUGUUGGAAGCUUCUUUAGAAAAUAUAUUUAAUUUAUUUAAGAUACAGGGACUUCCUGAUCAUGUUUGAGCUAAAACGGUAGCAAAAUCAGUUUCCACUGUCAAGAGACAGGACUUUGUGAUGUCAUCAGGAAUAUGUAUGUAUUUUUUCUUCUGUACAUGUUUUAUUUUGAUCUUAUUCCUUAAUAUUUUCAAAAUGAAAAUACUUUUUGAUCAUGCAAAUUAUAUUUCACUUGAGGAUUAGUGUUACGUAUGGAUUGGUUUUAUGUAUGUACUGACAAUUAUUUUCUUUUAUGAUAUUUAAAGGAAGCCAUUUUGGACAGUUGUUACUUUAAUAUAGAUAAUGGAAAUACAAAUUUUGGAGCACCAUAGGUCAGUUAGUAGCACUUGGACUCCCAGCCCACAAGAAACAGAUUCAUUCUUCUUAUGACCAGGCAGGGUUGAUGAGGCAUUAUUUAUUGUACAGGUAGUGUGCACUCGAGCUGGCCACUCACCACGUCAGAUUCCCAGGCUAUCCUAACCUUCUUUACUUGAAGGUCACCAGCCUGUAAAUUGUGGAAAACACUAUAAAGUAUAUUUUUAGAACUAAAAAUUUAUGGUUAAUGAAUAUAUUAGCUCAUACUGCUCUGAAUUGCACAUCAGCUAAGCACCUUAGUCUCCCAUUGUUCUGUUCUGAAGGAAUGAGAUAAUGACAGGUGAGGACAUACCUUAGCAUGAAGUGAAUGGUUUUCAAGGGAUCAAGAGUAGAUAGAAGUGUCUCAUAAGAUCUUAAAAAGAGAGAAUGAGGGUGAUGAGGAAUGAUAAACUUGUAGCAUACAUGCAGGCAUGUAUACACUGUGCACUUUCAAGUCAUAUGUAAAUAAGUCAGUGUAAGUGAAAUAUGAGAAACCUUAUUGAGGAGCGUUUUGUUGAAGCUCUCGAGAAGUAAGUAUAUACCGUACCAUAUUUUGUUGCUUUGGGGCAAAAUUGUUGUAACUCCUUGAAAUUUGUUGAUAUAUAUGGCAAAUUAACCUAAUUUGUUGGUAUUUCACCAAUUUCCUGCGUCAGAUCUUUUAUUAAUGUGAGGAUGACUUACUUUAUCUGUGCACAUUUUAUUCAGAAUGUGGAAUUACAACAUUUAGGCACUAAGGCAUUGAUUUGCUGUAGGUUUUAUAAAUGGAAUGCAAAAGUUUGAGUAUUAUUUUUAAGGUAACUUUUGCAGUUUUAAUAAUACAAAUCAGUAUCUUAUGUAUGCAACUAAUGUGAAUAUAACUUAUAUAGUCAUUUUUAUGCAUAUAUACACAUUCAAAUACUGUACAGUACAGUACAUUCUUUUACUCUUCAGAGUUAUGUAUUGUUCCACUAAUCAAAUCCAAAAGUUUUCACCAUAUCAAUUUACUGCACUUUUGGAUUUAUUUUAGAGUAAUAAUCUGUGGAUGAGUUAUUGAAAAGUGACCUUUAUCUUACCAUUUCCAGAUAUAUGCCAGAUCUCAUAAGGUUUAUUUAAACUCAGCUAACAGUCAUGGUACUCUGUUAAACAUGGUUUUCAUUCAAAUGGUGUUGGUUGUUGAAACUGAUUCAGUUUUACAAGUUAUAUUAAAAUACAUCGAAAAGACACUAGGUAUGCAUGGAGGAGUCCUACACCAUUGCAUCCAUAGUGAUGGUUGUGAACUUUUCUUCAAAAGCACAAUAACUUUAGGUAAAAAUAAUCUUAGUGCAAUCUCAACCCUCUUGUGGUUCAUACAAAAGUGAUGUAUGUGAUCAUCAUAGAAGAAACAAAUCUCAUCUAUGUAAUUUUGAUCUUUUCACUUCUUCAUAUGAUCCAUAUUUCUUAUUUACUAAUGCUAAAAUACAAAGUCUAAAUUAUAUAUCCAUUCAUUUUACUUAUCUGAAUUAUUAUUUUAUUAUUAUUAUUAUUAUUAUUAUUAUUAUUAUUAUUAUUAUUAUUAUUAUUAUUAUUAUUAUUACAUUUUUGGCCUCGAUGUGGGUUAGUGACCUGUGCCCGGGUGGGCUAGUCCCCAUAAAAAAAAAGAAUAGAAAAGAGAUACCCAUAGUAAGUACAUUGUAGUUUUAUGGGCUCUGUCUUGCACAAAAUUGCAAUAUUGGAGGUGGUGGACUCGUCUCUUUGUUAUGACUAGGCACUUCAUAGUGUGAGCUGACAGCAGCUAUUUUGUGUCUGUAAUGCAAAAUAUAUUGUGCUGCAAUGUAGUGAUACUUUACAGUGUGAUAUUGUUUCCAAUAAAACUUUUUCUUCUAAGAUGAAAUACUAUGCCAUAUUCUUCCUGGUAGUAAGAGAAGAAUGCUUUGUGGAUUUGUAUUGAUAUAUAUUAACCUGUGUUUCAUACUUAAAUAAGGGCAGCAUAUUUAGUGUCUUGACGACUCUCUUCAUCUUGGCUCCUUAUCGUGCCAGAUGCCCUACUGUAUUGCUCAACACCUUACCAAUAAUUUCUGGUUGCUUCUUUAGCAUAGAAUAACUAAAACAAAGGUCUCAUCCUUGCACUGUAGGAUGCGACGCCCAUAAACAUCUCAAACCAGAAAAAGACUUAAUUGGUGUGGGUAAAUUCAACACUUACACGAAAAAUAAAUAUGAACAUAGAAACUACUUAAAAGAAUGGGAUGGAAAUUUGUGUGUGUUGAGUUGAAGAUUGUGCAGUGAGGGUAGAUUCACUAUUUGGUAUUAGUAAUUGGUACUGGUAAUUGUUUUUAAGUAACUGCUCAGGAAUAAGCAGGUUUGUGGUUAUGGUAAUGUCAUCAUUCAGUGCCAGGAAUCCCCCAGAAAGAAAUUCAUUAUCCUAACUACCUUGUAGUAGACAAAUAUUAAAUUUUUUCAUGACAUAGCAAGUUAUAAAUUGUUUUUAAGAAAAUUUCCUGACAGGCUUUCUGUUGAUAAAGUUGUUUUCUUACUACAGUAUAUAAAUGUAAGAGACAGGGUAUUGGAAGUCGAUAUAUUUAUUUUUUAUUUUUUUUUAUUUUUUUUUAUCGCCUUUAUGCAUUACAGUAUCUAGGUUAAAACUACUGUAGUUGUUAAUUUUUUCCCAAAGAGUGACCAGAGCAGCUCAGCAUAUCAAUAAUGCACCAAAGCCUCUCAAAUACUUGGUCCAACAAAUAUAUGGUAUUUUCAGAACACAUUUAACUUCACUAUUUUGCUCUGAAAAUUUGAGUCACUGAAGCACAAUAAUUUAUGCCAAGACUUCCGAGACACUCUUAUGGUUGUAAUUUUUAUAUACCUGUACUUUAAUUUCUAUGAAGAUCUGUAUACUGUAUUUACUAGCUGGUAAUUUUAAUUUCUAUAGUGUGCAUAACAUAGGAGACUUUUAACAUAAGCUAUAUCAGAUGCAUGAAAACUGUUAGAGUAGAGAGCAUAGUUGUCCAUAGUGAUAUGGGUUGGGUGAUGUCCCUCUGCAGUACCUUAGGUAAGAGAAUGUCGGGCAUGAAAACAACUACCGCCAACCCUUGAACUUGUAAAAAUAAUAAGCUAUAUUUAAAAGUUAUAAAACCUAACAUAACUUCAACCUAGGUUAGGUCAGGUUUUAUUACUUGUAAAUGAGUCUUGUUAUUUUUGUAAUGGACUUUGGUGGCAGUGCCUUUCAUACCUGAUGUAGCCGAACAGUUAUUACUAUAAGUAAGGAUCCUGGCUACUACACAUGUAUUUAUCCAGAUAAAUUAUCCAAAUACUCAUAUGCAUAUUCUAUUUUUAUUAAUAUACAUAAGUAUUGAUAGAAAGUAAUGUAAUACUGUAUUUCACUUUGGUCAUUGCUCACUACUGUACACUGCUGAGGCCACCAUCAGUCAGUUCACUCGCUUUUUCUUUUUUAACACAGUAGUUACUUGUUGAUGUUGAUGUAACAUAGUUGUGCUUUAAGAAUGAUUAAAUAUGCAGUCAUAGUGCAGGUAGAUAGUUUUAGGGAAAGCAAAUAUAUAGUAUACCAAAUACAUAUUGUAUUUAUGAAAAGUGUAAAUGUUUUGGGAUUUUAUUUUAGAUUUUAACCUGCUGAAAAUUUUCAUACAUGUGAAUGUCUUUUAUAAUUUUGUAAUGUUUUUCUAAUAUGGAAUUUAACAUUCUCUUGAUCUUGUAAAUCCAGUGUUGCUGUUUUUUUCCUGUUCAUGAAAAUGUUACCAGUCUAUAUGAAAAGUUUGGUUGUGUGAGGGAACAGGAGUAAACCAGAUAAAUACUUGGGUGUUGUGGAAGGGGAGUACCACAUCAGUAAGAAUGACUAAUUGACUGUGAGUGAAGGGAUAUUGUGUGUGCGUGUAUGUGUGUGUGUGAUCUAUGCUCCAGCCUCCUGAAUCAUACUGAGAACAGACAUGAAAGACUGGGAAAGAUAAAGGGAAAACUGUUUGAUUUAAUUUUGAGGUUUAAAUUGCUUGACACUGUUAAUAAAUCAGAUUUUAAGCUUUUUGAAGUCUUUAUAGCAAAGACUGCAAGGAAGUUGAGCAUUUAGACUAAGUAAAAUAUUUUUCAUUUAAACAGUACUUAAGUAAUUUAUGAAUAAUCAUACACUAUAUCAGACAAACAUUCCCUCACUGCUUUUUUUUUUUUGCAACUAUUGUUCCAAUAAUAUGAACAAAUGUAAAGGAUUUGCAAACUUAAACUGCAUGAAGAAUUGAUGCCUAUAUAAUAAAAUAAUUACUAAGUCUGUACAGUACAGUAAAACUAACUGUUAAAUUGUACAGGUUGAAGGUAUGAGAAAAGACUAUGUAAGGAGAGGAGUAAAAAAAUAAUAAUAAAUGAAUAGAACUGGACCAGAUCUUUGGCAUUGUUUUGGCUGAAACAUUAGAUUUUUUUUUAAUGUUACCAGGAUUGUCUAACUGAUAGUAUAAAAAAAAAGGUUUAUUAUUAUGGUUAGUUGUAGGAACAUAUACAAGUACUUUGAUUCAGCAGUUGCAGAAGCAUUCACACUGUUGAAUGAAUGAGAAAAUUGUCAUGUGUUACUUUGGGCUACAAGGUUCCCACAUGUUUGUCACUUUUAUCUUACACUAAGUAGAUGGACACACAUUUUCAUUUAGUUGUUGGACAGUCUUGUAAAUUUACUUCUGUAAAUACUGUAUACAGCAGUUUUUAUUCAUCUUCAUCCUUAUAAAUAUAUGAUGUUGCAUAGGUGUAUGAAUGCAUGUAUGUACAGCCAGAAGCAGUAAUUGCUACCACCCCCUAGUGGCUCAGGCCACAGUCAGUGAAGGCCAGUAUUGAUACACUGCUACAAUGCCAGCCACGGUAGUUCUAAAACCACCCAGAAAUGUUUAGACGGGAGGGGGGGAAGGGAAAAGAGUUUUGUCCGAUCACCAGUCUUUUACUUGCCAUGGCUCUGGCUACUAGGGGGUGGUAGCAAUUAAAGUUCCUGACUACAGUAUAUGCAGAGGGGUGUUAAGAUUAAAUAGGAGUUAAAUGUACAUACUCAAGGUGUUUAACCUUAAUUUUCAUUUUAAAUCUUAAAUGCAGAGCAUUUGUAAUAUUUAUAAGUCUCAGGAAGGUAAAGGAUGAGCAAUAUGAAAACUUACAGUUGACUCUGGGGAUCCCAUAUGACAACCAUGAUUCUGAUUUGUUCAGAUGUAGAACAUUAAUGAAACAGUAAAAUUACAGGUACCGUAUUAAUAAUUCAGUGUUUUAAUUUUAAAGUGGCUCUUAACCAAAGUGACCAAUUCAGCUUAGUUAAAUUGUUCAGAGAACCAAAUUUUAACUCCUUGGAAAAAAUAUAAUGCUGUAAUAUUAGUUAAUCUGAAAACUCAGCUGUAUUCAACACUUCAGUUUAUUGUGUUUGUUAUAAUUAUUUACAGCAUAGGAGCCGAGGACCUGUUGAUCCCCAGCCUCUUCAAAUCCUUUAUGGUCUUUUAUCCAGAUUAUUUUAUUAGAAGUAUAAGUCUUAAAGUCACCAUAACAAUGACCUACUGGAGAUGUUGGUCCCCAAGCUAAAUAAUAGAUGUAGGUACAGCACUUGGCAACAAUGCUCAAUAAAAACAGCAGUGAGAAAUUAGAGUACUGUAACUGAUAACAAACAAUAUUUAAGAGAGCCUGGAGGUGUUACAAGAACCUUGGUACAGUAAAUAGAAACAAAGGAAUGUACACAGGAAUAUGAAAGACUAAGGUGGUACUGGCAUGAAUAAUGAGUGAAAUGACAGGUUAGUGAUGAAAAUUGUGAUAUUGGGUACUGUACCUAUGGUUAGACCAGAUGACAUGGCGAGUCACUGGAUAUGUCUGUGUGGGUGUUUCAUGUGAUAUUUCAAAGUAAAUUUCUGAGAUUGUUUUAUAGGAGACGUGUUUGUAAGAGUUGGUGCAGGUGCUAGUCUUACCUAAUGAGUGAGCAGCUUAGAAAAUGGAUUGAUAUUAAUUGUUUUAGUGAAGGUGGCACUUUUCAUACUCACAUAAGUGUGGUUACAUCUGAAGGUUUGUUGGGCUUUUUGCACUCAAUCAAUCCCAUUUUGUGUAUAUAUAUAUAUAUAUAUAUAUAUAUAUAUAUAUAUAUAUAUAUAUAUAUAUAUAUAUAUAUAUAUAUAUAUAUAUAUAUAUAUAUAUAUAUAUAUAUAUAUAUAUAUAUACAUACACACACACCCCUGUAUAUACUCAAGUAAUAAAAUACAAAAGAGUAAUACCAUACAUGUAUAUAGUCUUUAUAUAUUUCUGCCACUACUGUUCCUUCCAUUUACUAUAAUUUGUUGAUUUUUUUUCUUACUUGAUUUGCAUCUUCAUUCACAACAAUAAUAUGGUUAGAGAUAAGUUAUUGGCGUCUUUUAAGCAUCAACAGUGGGAAAAUAUUUAGGUAUAGCACUCGCCUUCACCCGGGUUGUAGGUGUCCCAAUAGCUUUGUUUUUAGUUUUACCGAGCACAUAUUUAAAAAAAAAUAAGGAUCAAGCAAUUUGCACAGUAAACCUUGUACUAGCUUUACCAGGCUUAUACCUUAUAACAUCAAGCAGGCAUAUCAAUGAAUUAUAUAGAAUAUGAAGUUCUUGUAAUGAGUAGAUUUUCCACUUUUUAUAUCAGGAGCUUGAAUGUUUUGUUUUUUAAUGUAAAAAUUGUACUGUAUAUCAUAAGACUUAAAUGAUGUAAACAAGUCUCAACAACAAUCACUAGGUGCUGCCUAGUGUGUAUGUAACUCAAUGCACUACCUCUCAACCCACUGUAUAGUUAUGCUGCAUGAUGUUUUUGUGUUAACACAUUGGUGUUUGUCAAAGGAAUAAUCACACAACUGUUGAAUUUGGAUUUACAUUAGGUAUAAACAGAUAGAUGGCUUAUGGAAGUUCUUUUUCUAACAAAUGUGUGUAAAUAUGAUUUUCUAUUGGACUUUGCAAUGUGUAAUGGCUACAUUUAGCAAUUUUAUACGCUGAAAAAAGUGUAAAUAUAUAUAAAUGAUGUAAAA
Molecule: unclassified non-coding RNA, 8091 nt
Filed under: Homarus americanus (American lobster)
Lineage: Eukaryota; Metazoa; Arthropoda; Malacostraca; Decapoda; Nephropidae
Description: ras-related protein Rab-39B-like, transcript variant X1
Source: RNAcentral